Molecule: ribosomal RNA, 465 nt
Filed under: Vreelandella stevensii
Lineage: Bacteria; Pseudomonadati; Pseudomonadota; Gammaproteobacteria; Oceanospirillales; Halomonadaceae
Description: partial 16S ribosomal RNA
Rfam family: Bacterial small subunit ribosomal RNA
Source: RNAcentral
CCUACGGGCGGCAGCAGUGGGGAAUAUUGGACAAUGGGCGAAAGCCUGAUCCAGCCAUGCCGCGUGUGUGAAGAAGGCCUUCGGGUUGUAAAGCACUUUCAGUGGGGAAGAAAGCCUUGGGGCUAAUACCCUCGAGGAAGGACAUCACCCACAGAAGAAGCACCGGCUAACUCCGUGCCAGCAUCCGCGGUAAUACGGAGGGUGCGAGCGUUAAUCGGAAUUACUGGGCGUAAAGCGCGCGUAGGCGGUCUGAUAAGCCGGUUGUGAAAGCCCCGGGCUCAACCUGGGAACGGCAUCCGGAACUGUCAGGCUAGAGUGCAGGAGAGGAAGGUAGAAUUCCCGGUGUAGCGGUGAAAUGCGUAGAGAUCGGGAGGAAUACCAGUGGCGAAGGCGGCCUUCUGGACUGACACUGACGCUGAGGUGCGAAAGCGUGGGUAGCAAACAGGAUUAGAUACCCCGGUAGUC